AGAUGUUACAUAAAAAUAGUUUGUAAGAAUUUCUAAAAGCAUAUAUGCAAAGUAUUUUGAUUUAUUUGAAAAUAAUUGAAAAUAGAUUUUUCAAGGACGGUGUCGAGGUCACGGGGUCGGUGUCGUUUUUCGAAAUUUAUUAACUUAAUAUAAUAGAAGAUGUUUCGUUUUAAAUUAAGAAAUGUUAAAAUUAUUAAGUUAAAAACAUUUGAUUUUAAUGACACUUAAAAUUAGACACAAUAUUAUAGGUUACUAACUAAAAAUUGAAAAAACAACAAUAAAUAAUAAAAAAUAAUAAUAAAAAAUUGAAAAAAUCAAAAAAUUCUUAAAAAAUUGCAAAAUAACCCUUUUUUGGGUUAAAAUUGCAAAAAGAUGUUACAUAAAAAUAGUUUGUAAGAUUUUCUAACAGCAUAUAUGCAAAGUAUUUUGAUUUAUUUGAAAAUAAUUGAAAAUAGAUUUUUCAAGGACGGUGUCGAGGUCACGGGGUCGGUGUCGUUUUUCGAAAUUUGUUAACUUAAUAUAAUAGAAGAUGUUUCGUUUUAAAUUAAGAAAUGUUAAAAUUAUUCAGUUAAAAACAUUUGAUUUUAAUGACACUUAAAAUUAGACACAAUAUUAUAGGUUACUAACUAAAAAUGGAAAAAACAACAAUAAAUAAUAAAAAAUAAUAAUAAAAAAUUGAAAAAAUCAAAAAAUUCUUAAAAAAUUGCAAAAUAACCCUUUUUCGGGAUAAAAUUGCAAAAUAACCCUUUUUCGGGUUAAAAUUGAAAAAAGAUGUUACAUAAAAAUAGUUUGUAAGAUUUUCUAAAAGCAUAUAUGCAAAGUAUUUUGAUUUAUUUGAAAAUAAUUGAAAAUAGAUUUUUCAAGGACGGUGUCGAGGUCACGGGGUCGGUGUCGUUUUUCGAAAUUUGUUAACUUAAUAUAAUAGAAGAUGUUUCGUUUUAAAUUAAGAAAUGUUAAAAUUAUUAAGUUAAAAACAUUUGAUUUUAAUGACACUUAAAAUUAGACACAAUAUUAUAGGUUACUAACUAAAAAUUGAAAAAACAACAAUAAAUAAUAAAAAAUAAUUAUAAAAAAUUGAAAAAAUCAAAAAAUUCUUAAAAAAUUGCAAAAUAACCCUUUUUCGGGUUAAAAUUGAAAAAAGAUGUUACAUAAAAAUAGUUUGUAAGAUUUUCUAAAAGCAUAUAUGCAAAGUAUUUUGAUUUAUUUGAAAAUAAUUGAAAAUAGAUUUUUCAAGGACGGUGUCGAGGUCACGGGGUCGGUGUCCGUUUUCGAAAUUUGGUAACUUAAUAUAAUAGAAGAUUUUUAUAUCAUCCUGUCAAAGUAAAGUAAUUGUUUUAUUGGGGUAUAGUUCCGAAAACGUCUCACCUCCGAUCUUAAUGAAACUUGGAAUAUUAACGUAUUUUAGUGCUCAGAUUACUAAAAUGAUAGUGAAAAUUGUCGCAAAUGUGAUUAUCAUGGUAAAAACCAUAAAAAACACCAUAAAAUCAUGGUUUUUUGCAGUUAUCUUGUAAAAAACGCAAAAUUUCGAAAAAGGUUUAAAAUAAAAGUUGUAGGUCUCAAAAAACACACAUUUUUUGUUGUAUGAAUUUUUUACCAAAAGUGGUUGUUUUUUGAGAAAAGUUCAAAAAACCAUAAAACAUCAUGAAAAAUGACGGAAAAAACAAUGCACAUCAUAACUAGAGAAAAAUUUAGUACUUGUAAGUAUAUUAACGUAUUUUGAUGCGCUAAUUAUAAAAAUGAUAAUAAAAAUUGGCGUAAAAUUGAUUAUAAUGAAGAAAACCAUAAAAAAC
Leptopilina boulardi is the source of this 1790-nucleotide long non-coding RNA. RefSeq lists it as uncharacterized. Lineage: Eukaryota; Metazoa; Arthropoda; Insecta; Hymenoptera; Figitidae. The record is from RefSeq and is a predicted model, not a curated record. The transcript has 3 exons.